Molecule: ribosomal RNA, 461 nt
Filed under: uncultured bacterium
Lineage: Bacteria
Description: partial 16S ribosomal RNA
Rfam family: Bacterial small subunit ribosomal RNA
Source: RNAcentral
CCUACGGGUGGCAGCAGUGAGGAAUAUUGGUCAAUGGGCGGAAGCCUGAACCAGCCAAGUCGCGUGAGGGAUUAAGGCCCUGCGGGUCGUAAACCUCUUUUGCCGGGGAGCAGAGGUCCGGACGUGUCCGGGCCGGGAGAGUACCCGGAGAAAAAGCAUCGGCUAACUCCGUGCCAGCAGCCGCGGUAAUACGGAGGAUGCGAGUGUUAUCCGGAAUCAUUGGGCGUAAAGAGUUCGUAGGCGGGACUGCAAGUCAGAUGUGAAAACUCAGGGCUCAACCCUGAGCCUGCAUUUGAAACUGUAGUUCUUGAGUACUGGAGAGGCAGACGGAAUUCCUAGUGUAGCGGUGAAAUGCGUAGAUAUUAGGAGGAACACCAGUGGCGAAGGCGGUCUGCUGGACAGCAACUGACGCUGAGGCGCGAAAGCGUGGGGAGCAAACAGGAUUAGAUACCCUGGUAGUC